UACGAAGGGGGCUAGCGUUGCUCGGAAUCACUGGGCGUAAAGCGCACGUAGGCGGCUUUCUAAGUCAGGGGUGAAAUCCUGGAGCUCAACUCCAGAACUGCCUUUGAUACUGGAGAGCUUGAGUCCGGAAGAGGUGAGUGGAACUCCGAGUGUAGAGGUGAAAUUCGUAGAUAUUCGGAAGAACACCAAUGGCGAAGGCAGCUCGCUGGGACGGUACUGACGCUGAGACGCGAAAGCGUGGGGAGCAAACAGG
RNAcentral lists this ribosomal RNA (253 nucleotides) under uncultured bacterium. RNAcentral's name for it is "partial 16S ribosomal RNA". It matches the Rfam family "Bacterial small subunit ribosomal RNA", at positions 524 to 776 of the family's 1533-position model. The record is from RNAcentral.